Solea senegalensis (Senegalese sole) is the source of this 241-nucleotide long non-coding RNA. RefSeq lists it as uncharacterized. The record is from RefSeq and is a predicted model, not a curated record. The transcript is spliced from 3 exons. Lineage: Eukaryota; Metazoa; Chordata; Actinopteri; Pleuronectiformes; Soleidae.
GCCGCUCGUCUGCUGUGGCGCUGGUGAACAUCGGCCCGGCCGGGUCCAAACCUGCAGGGGUCAAAGGUUUGCACCCACAAAUCCUGCAAGGUGAGCUCCCAGACUGACGCCGAUCAGGUGGACUGAACUCAGAGAGGCUCCUUCCUCCUGCAGACGCAACAUGCACACGUCAGCGUUACAUGCAAGAGAACAAGGAGUCCCAGCAGCAGCUGCAGCAGCACAGUGCCAGACUUCAUCCUUU